Molecule: transfer RNA, 82 nt
Filed under: Alligator mississippiensis (American alligator)
Lineage: Eukaryota; Metazoa; Chordata; Crocodylia; Alligatoridae
Rfam family: tRNA
About the family: Transfer RNA (tRNA) molecules are approximately 80 nucleotides in length. Their secondary structure includes four short double-helical elements and three loops (D, anti-codon, and T loops).
Source: Rfam by way of RNAcentral
GACAAGGUGGACAAGUGGUGAAGGUGAUGGACUGCUAAUCCACUGUGCUCUGCACGCGUGAUUUUGAAUCCCACCCUUGUUG